RNAcentral lists this non-coding RNA (31 nucleotides) under Rattus norvegicus (Norway rat). Lineage: Eukaryota; Metazoa; Chordata; Mammalia; Rodentia; Muridae. The record is from RNAcentral.
UGACUGAAGCAGAAGACAUUUUCUGUGAUGG